This 256-nucleotide ribosomal RNA is filed under the name uncultured bacterium. Its description in RNAcentral is "partial 16S ribosomal RNA". It matches the Rfam family "Bacterial small subunit ribosomal RNA", at positions 524 to 776 of the family's 1533-position model. The record is from RNAcentral.
GACGAACCGUGCGAACGUUAUUCGGAAUCACUGGGCUUAAAGCGCGUGUAGGCGGGCCGCCGCGUCGGCUGCUGAAAUCCCCCGGCUCAACCGGGGAACGGGCACCGAUACGGGCGGCCUCGAGGGGGGUAGGGGGGGCCUGGAACGUUCCGGUGGAGCGGUGAAAUGCGUUGAGAUCGGAAGGAACGCCCGUGGCGAAAGCGAGGCCCUGGACCCUUACUGACGCUGAGACGCGAAAGCCAGGGGAGCGAACGGG